UACGUAGGUGGCAAGCGUUGUCCGGAAUUACUGGGUGUAAAGGGAGCGUAGGCGGGAAGGCAAGUUGAUUGUCUAAACUAUCGGCUCAACUGAUAGUCGCGAUCAAAACUACUUUUCUUGAGUGAAGUAGAGGUAAGCGGAAUUCCUAGUGUAGCGGUGAAAUGCGUAAAUAUUAGGAGGAACACCAGUGGCGAAGGCGGCUUACUGGGCUUUAACUGACGCUGAGGCUCGAAAGCGUGGGUAGCAAACAGG
This 252-nucleotide ribosomal RNA is filed under the name Negativibacillus massiliensis. Its description in RNAcentral is "partial 16S ribosomal RNA". It matches the Rfam family "Bacterial small subunit ribosomal RNA", at positions 524 to 776 of the family's 1533-position model. Lineage: Bacteria; Bacillati; Bacillota. The record is from RNAcentral.